Non-coding RNA from Caerostris extrusa, 74 nucleotides. The record is from the annotation of a GenBank genome assembly. Lineage: Eukaryota; Metazoa; Arthropoda; Arachnida; Araneae; Araneidae.
GGUCUGAUGGCCGAGUGGCUGGGGCGCUCUGCACUCGACGGAUGUUUGCAGUGGUUCGAAUCCACUUUAAACCG